Molecule: long non-coding RNA, 226 nt
Filed under: Ricinus communis (castor bean)
Lineage: Eukaryota; Viridiplantae; Streptophyta; Magnoliopsida; Malpighiales; Euphorbiaceae
Description: long non-coding RNA (RCOM_LNC003052)
Source: RNAcentral
UCAUUUAUCAUUUCAUUCAUUCAUCAGUAAAUUACAUAACUAACAGUAGUUGUAAAUACUACUGUAUCCAAACUACAUCUUUAAGUAAAGCUAUAUCUUAAAAAUAACAAUCCUAGCCACACCAUAACAGCCAAGCUUAGACAGGUCCAUUCUGCACUUCAUGCUCCUUCUUUCUUCUUUCAUUUUCUGCAGCUUUGAAUUUAGCAAAUUAAUCCAUUCUUGUACU